GACGUAGGGCGCGAGCGUUGUCCGGAUUUACUGGGCGUAAAGCGCGCGCAGGCGGCACUGUAAGUAAGGUGUGAAAUAUCCCUGCUCAACGGGGAGGGUGCACUUUAGACUGCAGAGCUAGAGGACGGUAGAGGGGGGUGGAAUUGCUGGUGUAGCGGUGAAAUGCGCAGAUAUCAGGAGGAACACCAGCGGCGAAGGCGGCGCUCUGGGCCGGUACUGACACUGAGGAGCGAAAGCGUGGGGAUCAAACAGG
Molecule: ribosomal RNA, 253 nt
Filed under: uncultured bacterium
Lineage: Bacteria
Description: partial 16S ribosomal RNA
Rfam family: Bacterial small subunit ribosomal RNA
Source: RNAcentral